Molecule: ribosomal RNA, 675 nt
Filed under: Salmonella enterica subsp. enterica serovar Malstatt
Lineage: Bacteria; Pseudomonadati; Pseudomonadota; Gammaproteobacteria; Enterobacterales; Enterobacteriaceae
Description: partial 23S ribosomal RNA
Rfam family: Bacterial large subunit ribosomal RNA
Source: RNAcentral
UUAUAUUCUGUAGCAAGGUUAACCGUAUAGGGGAGCCGGAGGGAAACCGAGUCUUAAUUGGGCGUUAAGUUGCAGGGUAUAGACCCGAAACCCGGUGAUCUAGCCAUGGGCAGGUUGAAGGUUGGGUAACACUAACUGGAGGACCGAACCGACUAAUGUUGAAAAAUUAGCGGAUGACCUGUGGCUGGGGGUGAAAGGCCAAUCAAACCGGGAGAUAGCUGGUUCUCCCCGAAAGCUAUUUAGGUAGCGCCUCGUGAAUUCAUCUCCGGGGGUAGAGCACUGUUUCGGCUAGGGGGCCAUCCCGGCUUACCAACCCGAUGCAAACUGCGAAUACCGGAGAAUGUUAUCACGGGAGACACACGGCGGGUGCUAACGUCCGUCGUGAAGAGGGAAACAACCCAGACCGCCAGCUAAGGUCCCAAAGUCAUGGUUAAGUGGGAAACGAUGUGGGAAGGCCCAGACAGCCAGGAUGUUGGCUUAGAAGCAGCCAUCAUUUAAAGAAAGCGUAAUAGCUCACUGGUCGAGUCGGCCUGCGCGGAAGAUGUAACGGGGCUAAACCAUGCACCGAAGCUGCGGCAGCGAACGUAUCACUUAAAGCGAUUCAGCGGGUUACGAUUGACGGAGCGAAGCGACGUCAAAGCGUAUACAAAGUCGAGUCGGUUUAAGGAUACGUUC